CGGACGGGUGAGUAACGCGUGAGAACCUGCCCUUGGGAGGGGGACAACCGCUGGAAACGGUGGCUAAUACCGGAUGUGCCGCAAGGUGAAAGGUUAACUGCCUGAAGAUGAGCUCGCGUCUGAUUAGCUAGUUGGAAGUGUAAAGGACUCCCAAGGCGACGAUCAGUAGCUGGUCUGAGAGGACGAUCAGCCACACUGGGACUGAGACACGGCCCAGACUCCUACGGGAGGCAGCAGUGGGGAAUUUUCCGCAAUGGGCGAAAGCCUGACGGAGCAAUACCGCGUGAGGGAGGAAGGCUCUUGGGUCGUAAACCUCUUUUCUCAGGGAAGAACAAAAUGACGGUACCUGAGGAAUAAGCAUCGGCUAACUCCGUGCCAGCAGCCGCGGUAAUACGGAGGAUGCAAGCGUUAUCCGGAAUGAUUGGGCGUAAAGCGUCCGCAGGUGGCAAUGUAAGUCUGCUGUUAAAGAGUCUAGCUCAACUAGAUAAGAGCAGUGGAAACUACAUAGCUAGAGUACGUUCGGGGCAGAGGGAAUUCCUGGUGUAGCGGUGAAAUGCGUAGAGAUCAGGAAGAACACCGGUGGCGAAGGCGCUCUGCUAGGCCGUAACUGACACUGAGGGACGAAAGCUAGGGGAGCGAAUGGGAUUAGAUACCCCAGUAGUC
RNAcentral lists this ribosomal RNA (663 nucleotides) under uncultured cyanobacterium. RNAcentral describes it as "bacterial SSU rRNA". It matches the Rfam family "Bacterial small subunit ribosomal RNA", at positions 99 to 795 of the family's 1533-position model. The record is from RNAcentral. Lineage: Bacteria; Bacillati; Cyanobacteriota.